UUUGAGAGUUUGAUCCUGGCUCAGGAUUAACGCUGGCGGCAUGCCUAAGACAUGCAAGUCGAACGAGAGGGCCCAUUGACAUUCAUCGAAAGUUGAAGUGCUUGCACUGAUGCUGGACUUGUUUAGAUUUGGAUUUUCCCUCGAGUGGCAAACGGGUGAGUAACACGUGGGUUACCUGCCUCUUAGACUGGGAUACCGAUUGGAAACGAUCGUUAAUACCGGAUGUUCUCUACGGAGUAAAGGAGCCUUUAAAGCUUCGCUAAGAGAUGGGCCUGCGGCGUAUUAGCUAGUUGGUGGGGUAAUGGCCUACCAAGGCGACGAUGCGUAGCCGUACUGAGAGGUUAAACGGCCACACUGGGACUGAGACACGGCCCAGACUCCUACGGGAGACAGCAGUUAGGAAUAUUCGUCAAUGGGGGAAACCCUGAACGAGCAAUGCCGCGUGAGUGAUGAAGGUCCUUUGGAUUGUAAAACUCUGUUGUUAUGGAAAAAUGCUAAGAAUAGGAAAUGAUUUUUAGUUGAUGGUACAUUUCAAGAAAGCCACGGCUAACUACGUGCCAGCAGCCGCGGUAAUACGUAGGUGGCGAGCGUUAUCCGGAUUUAUUGGGCGUAAAGCGUGCGCAGCCGGUUUAUUAAGUCUAAGAUGAAAGCCCGAAGCUUAACUUCGGUUUGUUUUAGAAACUGGUAGGCUUGAGUAUAGUAGAGGCAAACGGAAUUUCUAGUGUAGCGGUAAAAUGUGUAGAUAUUAGAAGGAACACCAGUGGCGAAGGCGGUUUGCUAGGCUAGCACUGACGGUCAUGCACGAAAGCGUGGGGAGCAAAUAGGAUUAGAUACCCUAGUAGUCCACGCCGUAAACGAUGAGUACUAAGUGUCGGGUUACCGGUGCUGAAGUUAACACAUUAAGUACUCCGCCUGAGUAGUACGGUCGCAAGGCUGAAACUCAAAGGAAUUGACGGGCACCCGCACAAGCGGUGGAGCAUGCUGUUUAAUUCGACAAUACGCGAAAAACCUUACCUAGGCUUGACAUCCCGUGCAACGCUAUGGAAACAUAGUUCGAGGUUACCACGGUGACAGAUGGUGCAUGGUUGUCGUCAGCUCGUGUCGUGAGAUGUUUGGUUAAGUCCAAUAACGAGCGCAACCCUCAUUUUUAGUUACUAACAUUCAGUUGAGGACUCUAAAAAUACAGCCGACGCAAGUCGGAGGAAGGUGGGGAUGACGUCAAAUCAUCAUGCCUCUUACGUCUAGGGCUACAGGCGUGCUACAAUGGCCGGUACAACGAGCUGCAACAUGGUGACAUGAAGCGAAUCUCUUAAAGCCGGUCCCAGUCCGGAUUGUAGUCUGCAACUCGACUACAUGAAGUUGGAAUCGCUAGUAAUCCCGAAUCAGAAUGUCGGGGUGAAUACGUUCUCGGGUGUUGUACACACCGCCCGUCACGCCAUGGGAGUCGGUAAUACCUGAAGUCGGUAGCCAAACCUUUUAGGAUGGGGCCGCCCAAGGUAGGAUUGAUGACUGGGGUGAAGUCGUAACAAGGUAUCCCUACGAGAACGUGGGGAUGGAUCACCUCCUUUCU
RNAcentral lists this ribosomal RNA (1570 nucleotides) under Bacillota bacterium. Its description in RNAcentral is "bacterial SSU rRNA". It matches the Rfam family "Bacterial small subunit ribosomal RNA". The record is from RNAcentral. Lineage: Bacteria; Bacillati; Bacillota.